This 499-nucleotide ribosomal RNA is filed under the name uncultured bacterium. RNAcentral's name for it is "bacterial SSU rRNA". It matches the Rfam family "Bacterial small subunit ribosomal RNA", at positions 32 to 517 of the family's 1533-position model. The record is from RNAcentral.
AAUCAACGCUGGCGGCGUGCCUAACACAUGCAAGUCGAACGCGAAAGGGGCUUCGGCCCUGAGUAGAGUGGCGUCCGGGUGAGUAACGCGUGGGUAAUCUACCCUCGGGUGGGGAAUAACCAAUCGAAAGAUUGGCUAAUACCGCAUAAUGCAGCGGCUCGACAUCGAGACAGUUGUUAAAGCAGCAAUGCGCCAGAGGAGGAGCCUGCGUCUGAUUAGCUUGUUGGCGGGGUAACGGCCCACCAAGGCUACGAUCAGUAGCUGGUCUGAGAGGACGGCCAGCCACAAUGGCACUGAAACACGGGCCAUACUCCUACGGGAGGCAGCAGUGGGGAAUUUUUCGCAAUGGGCGCAAGCCUGACGAAGCAACGCCGCGUGGGGGAUGGAAGGUCUUCGGAUUGUAAACCCCUGUCGACCGGGACGAAAGUACCCGACCUAAACGUCGGAGUGUUGACUGUACCGGUGGAGGAAGCCACGGCUAACUCUGUGCCAGCCGCCG